AGCCUAAUUUUAAAUACUUGGAGGCCCGUCAUGUGCGUCGCAUGGCCCAUGACACGCGAUGCAGAUGACCCGUGAGUUCGUGACUUUUAAACUUCUCCCAAUCCACUCCUCGUAUUUCUACAAACCCUAACUUGAUCUCUCACCACAUCCUCUCUCACUGUAUCCUCUCUCACCUCAUUAUGACUCUCACCUCAUUCUGCUUCCUCCUUUCAAUGCUCUUUUUCCCCAUUUCUUUUUCUCUCUCCACCAUGGAUCCUGCAAAUUUCAGUCGCUCCAACUUAAUUCCUUCUAAAACCCUACUUUUAAACUUCAUGAUUCCAGAUCUAUCUCUAAACCACCAUGGAAGCUCAAAUUUGGAGCUCAGAGCCUGUGACAUGCAACAACUACACUGAGAUGGCAUUGAAAUGGGAACGACGUUCCCCAUCUCAACUGGGAGUGACGUUCGAAUCAAAGAAAAAUUGAACCUGUUAGAAGGAAUUGGAAUGGGGUGACGUUCUCCAUCUCUAACGGGUUGAUUUUUUAUAUCAUUUUUUUUUUUUACUUUUUUAGAUCUGAAAUAACGACGACCUUCUGGAGGUAUUGUAAUGGCUUCCGGCGAAUUAUUGUAAAGCGAUAAGGGUCUUGUUGUGUACAUUUUUGCUAUUAAACUAUGGAAUCACCAGAUUGAAGAAUGUUGAAGAAGUUUUUUUUUUAUAUCAGAGUGACGUUCAAAUCAAAGAAGUUGACUGUGAAGAUUAAAUAAUAUUGAAUUUACCUUCGAAUUUAUCACCAUCUAGAUUUGAGGUUAUUUUUUUUUUAUAGUUUUUCCCCCUAAAUUGUUUUGGAUUAGCCGAUUUCAAAUUAGAUUAGCGUCCGACUUUUUUAAUUUUCUUGGAUCUAUGUAAUUCAAGUUGUAAUAAAUUGUAAAUUUUUUUUCUCAUUUAUGUACUAGUUCUUUCAUUUGAUUUUAUUUUAUAUCAAAGAAGUUGUGAUCUGAUUUUUUGGGUUCAAA
Long non-coding RNA from Beta vulgaris subsp. vulgaris (sugar beet), 991 nucleotides. RefSeq lists it as uncharacterized. The record is from RefSeq and is a predicted model, not a curated record. NCBI's taxonomy places the organism in Eukaryota, Viridiplantae, Streptophyta, Magnoliopsida, Caryophyllales, Amaranthaceae. The transcript is spliced from 2 exons.